RNAcentral lists this ribosomal RNA (209 nucleotides) under uncultured Streptococcus sp. Its description in RNAcentral is "partial 16S ribosomal RNA". It matches the Rfam family "Bacterial small subunit ribosomal RNA", at positions 1174 to 1382 of the family's 1533-position model. The record is from RNAcentral. Lineage: Bacteria; Bacillati; Bacillota; Bacilli; Lactobacillales; Streptococcaceae.
GGGGAGUGACGUCAAAUCAUCAUGCCCCUUAUGACCUGGGCUACACACGUGCUACAAUGGUUGGUACAACGAGUUGCGAGUCGGUGACGGCGAGCUAAUCUCUUAAAGCCAAUCUCAGUUCGGAUUGUAGGCUGCAACUCGCCUACAUGAAGUCGGAAUCGCUAGUAAUCGCGGAUCAGCACGCCGCGGUGAAUACGUUCCCGGGCCUU